AAAUCACAUGAUGAGUUCCUAGCAUACAAAACUACCUACCACAGCCAUACUUGCUAUAACAUCUUUUACUAUAUCUACAUUGAGUUUGAUCGAGCUGUGUAGACCCUUAGGAGCUUUUCAUGUGGUUAAAUUAAGAUAUUCACUUGCACUCAUCUACCACAGCAUUAAUCAUUAAAAUUGCUAAAAAAAUAUAUUAUCACUCACUGUCCCAAGUAUUGUUAUUCUCUCUCUAAAAAGAUUCAAUGUAGAAGAGGCAUGGGUUAUGCAAAAACAUACGAGGAAAUAAAAAGGGGCAAGUGCCCGGAACCUCGGAAAAGAAAGAAAAAGAGUGAGACGAGAGGUAAAAAUGGACAAGUGUCCGAAGUAGAAUUAGGGGUACAAAGAUGCCCACUUGAGCGGAAAAAAAGGACAAGUGUCCGACAGUAGAAUUAGGGGUAUCUAUUACCCACCUGAAAAAAAAAGAGAUAGCCCAUGUUCUCCCAAAGCAAAGAUCAAAGAGGAGGAGAGAUAGCAAUAUGAGGAGCAAUGAGAACUAAGAUUUAUUAACACUAUUGCAUUUUCACCAUCACUAUCAUUUACUCCACCAC
This 587-nucleotide long non-coding RNA is filed under the name Sorghum bicolor (sorghum). Its description in RNAcentral is "long non-coding RNA (SBIC_LNC012223)". Lineage: Eukaryota; Viridiplantae; Streptophyta; Magnoliopsida; Poales; Poaceae. The record is from RNAcentral.